This 382-nucleotide ribosomal RNA is filed under the name Vibrionaceae bacterium GUDS1110. RNAcentral's name for it is "bacterial SSU rRNA". It matches the Rfam family "Bacterial small subunit ribosomal RNA", at positions 67 to 449 of the family's 1533-position model. Lineage: Bacteria; Pseudomonadati; Pseudomonadota; Gammaproteobacteria; Vibrionales; Vibrionaceae. The record is from RNAcentral.
CUGAACCUUCGGGGAACGAUAACGGCGUCGAGCGGCGGACGGGUGAGUAAUGCCUGGGAAAUUGCCCUGAUGUGGGGGAUAACCAUUGGAAACGAUGGCUAAUACCGCAUAAUAGCUUCGGCUCAAAGAGGGGGACCUUCGGGCCUCUCGCGUCAGGAUAUGCCCAGGUGGGAUUAGCUAGUUGGUGAGGUAAUGGCUCACCAAGGCGACGAUCCCUAGCUGGUCUGAGAGGAUGAUCAGCCACACUGGAACUGAGACACGGUCCAGACUCCUACGGGAGGCAGCAGUGGGGAAUAUUGCACAAUGGGCGCAAGCCUGAUGCAGCCAUGCCGCGUGUAUGAAGAAGGCCUUCGGGUUGUAAAGUACUUUCAGCAGUGAGGAA